GUGAGGAAUUUUCCGCAAUGGGCGAAAGCCUGACGGAGCAAUGCCGCGUGAAGGAUGAAGGCCUAUGGGUUGUAAACUUCUUUUCUCAGAAAAGAAUUAUGACGGUAUCUGAGGAAUAAGCAUCGGCUAACUCUGUGCCAGCAGCCGCGGUAAGACAGAGGAUGCAAGCGUUAUCCGGAAUGAUUGGGCGUAAAGCGUCUGUAGGUUGUUUAAAAAGUAUUCUGUCAAAGAUUAGGGCUUAACCCUAGAUAGGCAGAAUAAACUUUUAAGCUAGAGUUUGGUAGAGGCAGAGGGAAUUCCCGGUGGAGCGGUGAAAUGCGUAGAUAUCGGGAGGAACACCAAAGGCGAAGGCACUCUGCUGGGCCAAUACUAACACUGAGAGACGAAAGCGAGGGGAGCAAAUGGGAUUAGAAACACGUGUAGUCC
This 426-nucleotide ribosomal RNA is filed under the name uncultured bacterium. Its description in RNAcentral is "partial 16S ribosomal RNA". It matches the Rfam family "Bacterial small subunit ribosomal RNA", at positions 354 to 796 of the family's 1533-position model. The record is from RNAcentral.